AGCAUUAGAGGAAGAGCAGACAAGAGUCCAAGAGCUGGAGGAACGCUUGGCCCGCCAGAAGGAGGUACGCUCGGGGAGAUAGAGUCGGCUGAGCCCCAGUCGGCUUGAGGGCCAUGUGGAAGGAAGUUCAGAGCGGCGAUGAUGGGGAUCUCAGAGAGCAACAUUGCAUACGAGAAACGCAAAGCAAAGGAGGCCAUGGAGAAGGAAAAGAAAAAGGUGCAAGACCUAGAGAAUCGCUUAACCAAGCAGAAAGAGGAAUUAGAAUUAAAAGAGCAAAAAGAGGACGUUUUAAAUAAUAAAUUAAGUGACGCACUGGCCAUGGUUGAAGAGACUCAGAAAACAAAGGCAACUGAAAGUCUAAAAGCAGAGAGCCUCGCCUUGAAAUUAAAUGAAACAUUAGCCGAACUGGAAACUACCAAGACAAAAAUGAUCAUGGUGGAAGAGCGGCUAAUCCUGCAGCAGAAGAUGGUAAAGGCCCUCCAGGAUGAGCAGGAAUCACAGAGACACGGGUUUGAAGAAGAGAUCUUGGAAUAUAAGGAGCAAAUCAAACAGCACGCCCAGACAAUUGUGAGCCU
RNAcentral lists this small RNA (575 nucleotides) under Pan troglodytes (chimpanzee). Its description in RNAcentral is "processed transcript". Lineage: Eukaryota; Metazoa; Chordata; Mammalia; Primates; Hominidae. The record is from RNAcentral.